Molecule: ribosomal RNA, 253 nt
Filed under: uncultured bacterium
Lineage: Bacteria
Description: partial 16S ribosomal RNA
Rfam family: Bacterial small subunit ribosomal RNA
Source: RNAcentral
UACAGAGGUCUCAAGCGUUGUUCGGAUUCAUUGGGCGUAAAGGGUACGUAGGCGGCGCGGUAAGUCGGGUGUGAAAUCUCGGAGCUUAACUCCGAAACUGCAUUCGAUACUGGCGUGCUUGAGGACUGGAGAGGAGACUGGAAUUCAUGGUGUAGCAGUGAAAUGCGUAGAGAUCAUGAGGAAGACCAGUGGCGAAGGCGGGUCUCUGGACAGGUCCUGACACUGAGACACGAAGGCCAGGGGAGCAAACGGG